This 450-nucleotide ribosomal RNA is filed under the name uncultured organism. RNAcentral's name for it is "partial 16S ribosomal RNA". It matches the Rfam family "Bacterial small subunit ribosomal RNA", at positions 335 to 801 of the family's 1533-position model. The record is from RNAcentral.
ACUCCUGCGGGAGGCAGCAGUGGGGAAUAUUGGACACUGGGCGCAAGCCUGAUCCAGCCAUGCCGCGUGAGUGAUGAAGGCCCUAGGGUUGUAAAGCUCUUUCACCGGUGAAGAUAAUGACGGUAACCGGAGAAGAAGCCCCGGCUAACUUCGUGCCAGCAGCAGCGGUAAUACGAAGGGGGCUAGCGUUGUUCGGAUUUACUGGGCGUAAAGCGCACGUAGGCGGACUAUUAAGUCAGGGGUGAAAUCCCGGGGCUCAACCCCGGAACUGCCUUUGAUACUGGUAGUCUUGAGUUCGAGAGAGGUGAGUGGAAUUCCGAGUGUAGAGGUGAAAUUCGUAGAUAUUCGGAGGAACACCAGUGGCGAAGGCGGCUCACUGGCUCGAUACUGACGCUGAGGUGCGAAAGCGUGGGGAGCAAACAGGAUUAGAAACCCGGGUAGUCCCAUGAU